Molecule: ribosomal RNA, 2901 nt
Filed under: Escherichia marmotae
Lineage: Bacteria; Pseudomonadati; Pseudomonadota; Gammaproteobacteria; Enterobacterales; Enterobacteriaceae
Description: 23S ribosomal RNA
Rfam family: Bacterial large subunit ribosomal RNA
Source: RNAcentral
UUAAGCGACUAAGCGUACACGGUGGAUGCCCUGGCAGUCAGAGGCGAUGAAGGACGUGCUAAUCUGCGAUAAGCGUCGGUAAGGUGAUAUGAACCGUUAUAACCGGCGAUUUCCGAAUGGGGAAACCCAGUGUGAUCCGUCACACUAUCAUUAACUGAAUCCAUAGGUUAAUGAGGCGAACCGGGGGAACUGAAACAUCUAAGUACCCCGAGGAAAAGAAAUCAACCGAGAUUCCCCCAGUAGCGGCGAGCGAACGGGGAGGAGCCCAGAGCCUGAAUCAGUAUGUGUGUUAGUGGAAGCGUCUGGAAAGGCGUGCGAUACAGGGUGACAGCCCCGUACACAAAAAUGCACAUGCUGUGAGCUCGAUGAGUAGGGCGGGACACGUGGUAUCCUGUCUGAAUAUGGGGGGACCAUCCUCCAAGGCUAAAUACUCCUGACUGACCGAUAGUGAACCAGUACCGUGAGGGAAAGGCGAAAAGAACCCCGGCGAGGGGAGUGAAAAAGAACCUGAAACCGUGUACGUACAAGCAGUGGGAGCCUCUUUAUGGGGUGACUGCGUACCUUUUGUAUAAUGGGUCAGCGACUUAUAUUCUGUAGCAAGGUUAACCGAAUAGGGGAGCCGAAGGGAAACCGAGUCUUAACUGGGCGUUAAGUUGCAGGGUAUAGACCCGAAACCCGGUGAUCUAGCCAUGGGCAGGUUGAAGGUUGGGUAACACUAACUGGAGGACCGAACCGACUAAUGUUGAAAAAUUAGCGGAUGACUUGUGGCUGGGGGUGAAAGGCCAAUCAAACCGGGAGAUAGCUGGUUCUCCCCGAAAGCUAUUUAGGUAGCGCCUCGUGAAUUCAUCUCCGGGGGUAGAGCACUGUUUCGGCAAGGGGGUCAUCCCGACUUACCAACCCGAUGCAAACUGCGAAUACCGGAGAAUGUUAUCACGGGAGACACACGGCGGGUGCUAACGUCCGUCGUGAAGAGGGAAACAACCCAGACCGCCAGCUAAGGUCCCAAAGUCAUGGUUAAGUGGGAAACGAUGUGGGAAGGCCCAGACAGCCAGGAUGUUGGCUUAGAAGCAGCCAUCAUUUAAAGAAAGCGUAAUAGCUCACUGGUCGAGUCGGCCUGCGCGGAAGAUGUAACGGGGCUAAACCAUGCACCGAAGCUGCGGCAGCGACACUAUGUGUUGUUGGGUAGGGGAGCGUUCUGUAAGCCGUUGAAGGUGGCCUGUGAGGGUUGCUGGAGGUAUCAGAAGUGCGAAUGCUGACAUAAGUAACGAUAAAGCGGGUGAAAAGCCCGCUCGCCGGAAGACCAAGGGUUCCUGUCCAACGUUAAUCGGGGCAGGGUGAGUCGACCCCUAAGGCGAGGCCGAAAGGCGUAGUCGAUGGGAAACAGGUUAAUAUUCCUGUACUUGGUGUUACUGCGAAGGGGGGACGGAGAAGGCUAUGUUGGCCGGGCGACGGUUGUCCCGGUUUAAGCGUGUAGGCUGAUUUUCCAGGCAAAUCCGGAGAAUCAAGGCUGAGGCGUGAUGACGAGGCACUACGGUGCUGAAGCAACAAAUGCCCUGCUUCCAGGAAAAGCCUCUAAGCAUCAGGUAACAUCAAAUCGUACCCCAAACCGACACAGGUGGUCAGGUAGAGAAUACCAAGGCGCUUGAGAGAACUCGGGUGAAGGAACUAGGCAAAAUGGUGCCGUAACUUCGGGAGAAGGCACGCUGAUGGUAGGUGAAGCGACUUGCUCGUGGAGCUGAAAUCAGUCGAAGAUACCAGCUGGCUGCAACUGUUUAUUAAAAACACAGCACUGUGCAAACACGAAAGUGGACGUAUACGGUGUGACGCCUGCCCGGUGCCGGAAGGUUAAUUGAUGGGGUCAGCCGCAAGGCGAAGCUCUUGAUCGAAGCCCCGGUAAACGGCGGCCGUAACUAUAACGGUCCUAAGGUAGCGAAAUUCCUUGUCGGGUAAGUUCCGACCUGCACGAAUGGCGUAAUGAUGGCCAGGCUGUCUCCACCCGAGACUCAGUGAAAUUGAACUCGCUGUGAAGAUGCAGUGUACCCGCGGCAAGACGGAAAGACCCCGUGAACCUUUACUAUAGCUUGACACUGAACAUUGAGCCUUGAUGUGUAGGAUAGGUGGGAGGCUUUGAAGUGUGGACGCCAGUCUGCAUGGAGCCGACCUUGAAAUACCACCCUUUAAUGUUUGAUGUUCUAACGUGGACCCGUGAUCCGGGUUGCGGACAGUGUCUGGUGGGUAGUUUGACUGGGGCGGUCUCCUCCUAAAGAGUAACGGAGGAGCACGAAGGUUGGCUAAUCCUGGUCGGACAUCAGGAGGUUAGUGCAAUGGCAUAAGCCAGCUUGACUGCGAGCGUGACGGCGCGAGCAGGUGCGAAAGCAGGUCAUAGUGAUCCGGUGGUUCUGAAUGGAAGGGCCAUCGCUCAACGGAUAAAAGGUACUCCGGGGAUAACAGGCUGAUACCGCCCAAGAGUUCAUAUCGACGGCGGUGUUUGGCACCUCGAUGUCGGCUCAUCACAUCCUGGGGCUGAAGUAGGUCCCAAGGGUAUGGCUGUUCGCCAUUUAAAGUGGUACGCGAGCUGGGUUUAGAACGUCGUGAGACAGUUCGGUCCCUAUCUGCCGUGGGCGCUGGAGAACUGAGGGGGGCUGCUCCUAGUACGAGAGGACCGGAGUGGACGCAUCACUGGUGUUCGGGUUGUCAUGCCAAUGGCACUGCCCGGUAGCUAAAUGCGGAAGAGAUAAGUGCUGAAAGCAUCUAAGCACGAAACUUGCCCCGAGAUGAGUUCUCCCUGAGACUUUAAGUCUCCUGAAGGAACGUUGAAGACGACGACGUUGAUAGGCCGGGUGUGUAAGCGCAGCGAUGCGUUGAGCUAACCGGUACUAAUGAACCGUGAGGCUUAACCUU